Molecule: ribosomal RNA, 506 nt
Filed under: uncultured bacterium
Lineage: Bacteria
Description: partial 16S ribosomal RNA
Rfam family: Bacterial small subunit ribosomal RNA
Source: RNAcentral
GAUGAACGCUAGCUACAGGCUUAACACAUGCAAGUCGAGGGGUAACGAGAGGAAAGCUUGCUUUCCUUGUCGACGACCGGCGCACGGGUGAGUAACGCGUAUCCAACCUGCCCCCAACUAGGGAAUAACCUUGCGAAAGUAAGACUAAUACCCUAUAAUUUCCUCAGAUGUCAUCUGACGAGGAAUAAAGAUUUAUCGGUUGUGGAUGGGGAUGCGUCUGAUUAGCUUGUUGGCGGGGUAACGGCCCACCAAGGCAACGAUCAGUAGGGGUUCUGAGAGGAGGGUCCCCCACAUUGGAGCUGAGACACGGUCCAAACUCCUACGGGAGGCAGCAGUGAGGAAUAUUGGUCAAUGGGCGGAAGCCUGAACCAGCCAAGUAGCGUGCAGGAUGACGGCCCUAUGGGUUGUAAACUGCUUUUAUACAGGAAUAAAGUUAGCCACGUGUGGUUAUUUGUAGGUACUGUAUGAAUAAGGACCGGCUAGUUCCGUGCCAGCCGCCGCGGUAA